Molecule: non-coding RNA, 764 nt
Organism: Saimiri boliviensis boliviensis (Bolivian squirrel monkey)
Lineage: Eukaryota; Metazoa; Chordata; Mammalia; Primates; Cebidae
Source: RefSeq, a predicted model, not a curated record
GCCUGGGCGACAGAGCGAGACCCUGUUGCUACAUCUGGUGACCUGUGGUCGGGAGAGCAGGGGCCGUGUGGACCUCGGAAAGGACGGACAGUGAGUGCAUCAGCCACAGGACUGUCUCCCAGCCCCUUCUGGAACCUUCCAGGCCUGUUUUCCUCCAGAGCUGGAUGGCCCCAGGAAGGGAACAGCCACAAGAGGGCAGCAGCCAUCGUUAGGGCUGCCCCUCCUGUCACUCCGGAGCCCAGGCCCUGCAGCAGGGGACCUUGAGGCGCACCCAUGGGCGCACAGCAGCUGCCCCAGCCAUGCCGGAGCCUUCAUGGGCUCAUCUCGGACACUGGCACCUGAACCAGCAGCAGGCCACCAGAUGUCACUGCUGUCCCACGCCCGCCCGUGGGCCCCUGCGCUGUUACCUGCAGCAAACUCCUCGAUGGUCAUCAGUGGGAAGCGGAUGAGGCCCAGAGCCUUGCCCAGAACCUUCCGCCGGUUCUCAGGCGUCACCUGCAGCUGCUGCCGCUGACACUCAGCCUCAGACCAGCGGACAACGGCGUUGAACAGCCGCACUUCACGGAUGCCCAGCGUGUCGCGCUCCAGGACGGCCACUAGCGUGUCUGCAGGGUGGGGAAGGGGCUGCGUGAACAGGACACCCGCGUGCCCACCCUGCAGGAAGCAGGGAGACUAACAAGAACCAGCAGUUACAGCUGCACCGGCCACUGCGGCCCCAAACCCGGCCCUGUGCUUGUAUGUGUAAAUAAAGCUUUAUCGACACA